CCAGAUCCAUCGAACCGCCACCUCCUCCUCGAUCCAAAUCCUCCCCUGUCCAGACACCGCUGCCACUGUCUUUCUCCCACCUCGGGUUCCCCUUCGCACCAAUUAGCCACCACCAAAAAAACUUCCAAUUCCAUCGAUCCAUCCACCCAACUGCCGCCGCCCGAGAGCCUCGCUCGACCCCGUGCGCCACCACCGGCCGGCGACCUCGCCAGAGCUCUACCGGAACCGCCAGGCCAGCUCCUCGUGACCCUCUCCUUUCGUUCCCUUGUCCUUGAAGCUCUCUCUCCCUAACCUCUUCAUCUCUCUGUACCUCAACAGGAGCUCUAGAGCCAUGGUUUGAUUUCGGCCUCGAGGUUCCGACACCGCCAUCUCCUGCAUCCGCUGCCGCGCCAAGUCUCGCUUCCUCACCCGUGCGUCAAGUUCUUGCUGCGGCCGCCUCGAUCUGCCAUGCCGAUGCCCUCCAUGGAGUUCCCUGCAGCUUCCCGUCAGCGCCAUCUCGAACCGAGCCUCGCCCCUACACCGUCUUCCCCGCGCACCAAAGACCGGCGACCUCCAACCUCGCUGGAGUACCCAACCAGGGCAGCCCUUCCGCAAUUCGUCGCGCCGCCCUGCCAGGACAUGCCCCGCCGUCUCCUUCCUCGCCAGCUGCCACCGACCUCCAUUCUGUCCUUAGCGCCGCCCGACCAAGUCCGGCGACCAAGCGCAUGAUCUGGUCGAGCUCGCCGCCCCUUGCCUACUUGCACGUCGUUCCCGUGCCUGGCCACCAUGUCGCUGACCUUUGCUUCCCCUGCUACGAGCGAUAGGAUGAGGCACUGCCGGCGUUGACUCUAUGACGAGCACGACCCCCUCCUCUGCUUCACGCAUAGCGCAGCACCCUAACCCAGCUCUAGCGAUCGCAUGGGCCACAAGCAGAUCCGGCCCAACGCCUCCCUUCGUGGCCUGCCUCUUCCUCCGACUGGGCUUGGCCCAUGGGUGAGCUGCCCCAGUGCCCCUCUUGUUUUUUUUCUUUUCCUCCUGUUGGGCUAGCUAGUUUUGGCCCAUAUAGUGUUUUUUUCCUCGGGACGAAUUUAGCUAAUUUCCAGGGAUUUGCAGAUUUGCAGAAAAGACCCUAUUCUUCUUGCAUUUAACAACUCACCAACCAUGCAUCACAUGUAAAAACUUAAUAUAUGAAAAGUGCUUUGAAUUUUGUGUACUUUCAUAGUAUGCCACUUUCAUCCAUGUUUGAAAUGUUUAAAAUGCUAUUUGCAUUAAUUUUGCUUAUAUUCCAUGUUAA
This 1273-nucleotide long non-coding RNA is filed under the name Triticum aestivum (bread wheat). RNAcentral describes it as "long non-coding RNA (TAES_LNC020284)". Lineage: Eukaryota; Viridiplantae; Streptophyta; Magnoliopsida; Poales; Poaceae. The record is from RNAcentral.